AUUGAACGCUGGCGGCAUGCCUUACACAUGCAAGUCGAACGGUAACGGGCCUUCGGGUGCCGACGAGUGGCGAACGGGUGAGUAAUACAUCGGAACGUGCCCGAACGUGGGGGAUAACGAGGCGAAAGCUUUGCUAAUACCGCCUACGACCUACGGCUGCAAGCAGGGGACCGCAAGGCAUUUCGCGGACGGACCGGCAGAUGGCAGAUUAGGUAGUUGGUGGGAUAAAAGCGUACCAAGGCGACGAUCUGUAGCUGGUCUGAGAGGAUGAUCAGCCACACUGGGACUGAGACACGGCCCAGACUCCUACGGGAGGCAGCAGUGGGGAAUUUUGGACAAUGGGCGCAAGCCUGAUCCAGCCAUGCCGCGUGCAGGAUGAAGGCCUUCGGGUUGUAAACUGCUUUUGUACGGAACGAAAAGCCUUCUUUUAAUACAGGAGGGUCAUGACGGUACCGUAAGAAUAAGCACCGGCUAACUACGUG
RNAcentral lists this ribosomal RNA (482 nucleotides) under uncultured bacterium. RNAcentral's name for it is "partial 16S ribosomal RNA". It matches the Rfam family "Bacterial small subunit ribosomal RNA", at positions 30 to 507 of the family's 1533-position model. The record is from RNAcentral.